AUAUAUAUAUAUAUAAAACAGAUGGUAGCCACCCAGGCAACGGCGAGCUAUAGCCUUCCACGCGCAGUAGAACUCUAUAAAGGGUCCCUGUGAGCGGCACCACUGGCAUUCGUCCCGACUUCAGGGUUUUAGGUUUUGGACUUUAAUCCAAGAUUGGUGGUGAUCAAAUCCAACGGUGGUGGUUUAUCGUCUCUCACAAUUGAACAGGAAGAAAGAAAAUGCCUCGCGCAUCAAAGAGAAAAGCGGCCCCACUCAAUUCCUCCUCCGUCACAUCAGCUUCUGACUAUCGUGCUGGUAAGGCCAAAUCAAAGGAGAUAGAACGGAUUGAUCGCCUAUUUAAUUUGUAUGCAAAUACCUCAUUAGGCAUGAUUGACCCGGAAGGAAUCGAGUCUUUGUGUUCAGACAUGAAAGUCCGACAUACUGAUGUUAGGAUUCUGAUGCUUGCAUGGAAGAUGAAAGCUCAAAAGCAGGGUUAUUUUACUCAAGAAGAGUGGCGGACAGGGUUGAAGGCUCUUCAAGCUGAUACUCUUAACAAAUUAAAGAAAGCACUACCUGAAUUAGAGAAAGAGGUGGGUAUACAAGCAAACUUCGAGGAUUUCUAUUCUUAUGCAUUUCGGUAUUGCCUAGCAGAAGAGAAGCAAAAAAGUGUAGACAUUGAGACCAUUUGUGAAUUGUUGGAUCUUGUACUUCAUUCCCAAUUCUGUUCCAAGGUUGAUUUAUUAAUUGAGUAUCUAAAGAUCCAAAGUGAUUACAAAGUGAUAAACUGGGACCAAUGGAUGAAUUUUCUUCGUUUUUGCAAGGAGAUUAGCUUUCCAGAUUUUGAGAACUAUGAUGCAAAUCAAGCUUGGCCUUUGAUCCUAGACAAUUUUGUUGACUGGAUGAAAGAAAAGCAUAGGUAGUUUCAACAAUUCUUUGGCCAUUACCGUCCCCUACCUUAAGAGUAAAAUUCUGAUACAGUAAGGGAUUUGCCAUAAAACUAAUGAACAGAGUUUUUUUUUUUUUUUUCUUUUUCUUUUCUAUAAAACCAUUGAUACCAAGAAUAUGCUGGGCUCUCAGGACAUUCACAAAAUAUGAUUGUUUGUUUUUGCAAAUUUUCAUGUUAUUGUUCUACCAUUUGCUUCUUGUAGCCAAAAUGUCGUAGCGAAGGGCAUUUCUAGCGUAGCCGCCUGUCGUACAUUAAUUUGAAAGAGUAUUAUCAACUUCAGAUGGAAAAAGAAAAGCUGAUUGUGCCUAUUGAUGCAAUGUGUUAAACAGCCAAGAGGCUCAGUGGCUGACUGUUUUGUACUAGUCCUGUUUUGAUAGUUGGAAUCAGGCCCCAAAACCUUGUGAGUAGGGACUCACCUGCAUCAUGUUGGGCGAAAACAUGGAGUCUUUGAAUUGCCUAGAAAGCUAUUCCAUCCUAGGACAAUAAGAUGAGAUCAGCGUUCACAUUCAAUUAACAACAAAUUAUAAGUAUCAUUGGGCUGUCUCCUAAAUGAGAUUAAGUAAGCACAUUCAAUUCCUUAUUCCAUAUGCACUUGGCCAUAUUCUUCUUCCCUUUGUUAUUUCGUUAAGUUCUAUUAAUUAAUGAAAAGGAUAACUUUAGACAAAA
Molecule: RNA transcript, 1591 nt
Organism: Hevea brasiliensis (rubber tree)
Lineage: Eukaryota; Viridiplantae; Streptophyta; Magnoliopsida; Malpighiales; Euphorbiaceae
Exons: 11
Source: RefSeq, a predicted model, not a curated record